AAGUCGUAACAAGGUAACCGUAGGUGAACCUGCGGUUGGAUCAUUAAUGAAUUACUGAAGUAGCAAUACUUCUUAGGAGGGAGACUCGCAAGAGUUGACCUUCGCUGACCUUUGUGAAUUAUAGUUUGUACUGGGGACCGUGGUCCUUUGUACUCUCUAUUAAAAAGUCAUUAGAAACUAGUCUUAAUCAAUCAAUUAAUUUGAAACAACUUUUGACAACGGAUCUCUUGGCUCUC
RNAcentral lists this unclassified non-coding RNA (236 nucleotides) under fungal sp. Its description in RNAcentral is "partial internal transcribed spacer region". The stretch from base 1 to 46 matches the Rfam family "Eukaryotic small subunit ribosomal RNA", at positions 1786 to 1831 of the family's 1831-position model. The record is from RNAcentral. Lineage: Eukaryota; Fungi.